This 101-nucleotide non-coding RNA is filed under the name Octodon degus (degu). The record is from RNAcentral. Lineage: Eukaryota; Metazoa; Chordata; Mammalia; Rodentia; Octodontidae.
GGCUGAUCUGAAUGCAGCAGUGCCUCCAACUAAUUGAUCACAGCCAGUUACAGAUUCCUGCAUUGCUUCUCCACUCCCACUGCUGCACUUACUAGCCUAAA